This is a small nuclear RNA of Ailuropoda melanoleuca (giant panda), 99 nucleotides long. Lineage: Eukaryota; Metazoa; Chordata; Mammalia; Carnivora; Ursidae. The record is from Ensembl.
GACACUGUGCUAUUAGAACAGUCACUAAUGCUACAGAGAAGAUUGGUAUGGCCCUUGUGUAAGAAUGACAUGCAAAUUCAUGAAGUGCUCCAUGUUAAA